GCCGGGCAUGGUGGCGGAUGCCUGUGGUCCCAGCUACUUGGGAGGCUGAGUCAGGAGAAUGGUGUGAACCCGGGAGGCGGAGCUUGCAGUGAGCGGAGAUUGUGCCACUGCACUUCAGCCUGAGCACAGAGCGAAAUAAUGGCCAAAGUUUUUCUUUAUUCUUUUUUUUUUUUUUUUGACGGAGUCUCACUCUGUCACCCAGGCUGGAGUGCACGGGCACAAUCUCGGCUCACUGCAAGCUCCACCUCCUGGGUUCACGCCAUUCUCCUGCCUCAG
RNAcentral lists this signal recognition particle RNA (276 nucleotides) under Pan troglodytes (chimpanzee). RNAcentral's name for it is "Metazoan signal recognition particle RNA". It matches the Rfam family "Metazoan signal recognition particle RNA". From Rfam's summary of the family: The signal recognition particle (SRP) is a universally conserved ribonucleoprotein. It is involved in the co-translational targeting of proteins to membranes. Lineage: Eukaryota; Metazoa; Chordata; Mammalia; Primates; Hominidae. The record is from Rfam by way of RNAcentral.